Molecule: ribosomal RNA, 505 nt
Filed under: Salmonella enterica
Lineage: Bacteria; Pseudomonadati; Pseudomonadota; Gammaproteobacteria; Enterobacterales; Enterobacteriaceae
Also listed under: 2 other names
Description: partial 23S ribosomal RNA
Rfam family: Bacterial large subunit ribosomal RNA
Source: RNAcentral
GAAGGUGUGUCGUGAGGCAUGCUGGAGGUAUCAGAAGUGCGAAUGCUGACAUAAGUAACGAUAAAGCGGGUGAAAAGCCCGCUCGCCGGAAGACCAAGGGUUCCUGUCCAACGUUAAUCGGGGCAGGGUGAGUCGACCCCUAAGGCGAGGCCGAAAGGCGUAGUCGAUGGGAAACGGGUUAAUAUUCCCGUACUUGGUGUUACUGCGAAGGGGGGACGGAGAAGGCUAUGUUGGCCGGGCGACGGUUGUCCCGGUUUAAGCGUGUAGGUGUGUGUUCCAGGUAAAUCCGGUUCACUUUAACACUGAGGCGUGAUGACGAGGCACUACGGUGCUGAAGCAACAAAUGCCCUGCUUCCAGGAAAAGCCUCUAAGCAUCAGGUAACAUCAAAUCGUACCCCAAACCGACACAGGUGGUCAGGUAGAGAAUACCAAGGCGCUUGAGAGAACUCGGGUGAAGGAACUAGGCAAAAUGGUGCCGUAACUUCGGGAGAAGGCACGCUGACAC